UACGUAGGGUGCAAGCGUUGUCCGGAAUUAUUGGGCGUAAAGAGCUCGUAGGCGGCUUGUCACGUCGGGUGUGAAAGCCCGGGGCUUAACCCCGGGUCUGCAUUCGAUACGGGCUAGCUAGAGUGUGGUAGGGGAGAUCGGAAUUCCUGGUGUAGCGGUGAAAUGCGCAGAUAUCAGGAGGAACACCGGUGGCGAAGGCAGGUCUCUGGGCCGUAACUGACGCUGAGGAGCGAAAGCGUGGGGAGCGAACAGG
Molecule: ribosomal RNA, 253 nt
Filed under: uncultured bacterium
Lineage: Bacteria
Description: partial 16S ribosomal RNA
Rfam family: Bacterial small subunit ribosomal RNA
Source: RNAcentral